This 1630-nucleotide long non-coding RNA is filed under the name Ovis aries (sheep). Its description in RNAcentral is "lncRNA (ENSOARG00000026175.1)". The record is from RNAcentral. Lineage: Eukaryota; Metazoa; Chordata; Mammalia; Artiodactyla; Bovidae.
UACUCUAUUUAAAAUAUUAAAACCACAUCCAAUAAAGGGCAAAAUCCUUGAUUUCUAGCCUAGAUCUGAGCCUUCAUUUCUUGAGGGGGGAAAAAAAAGGCUUUUUUGGCUGCACUAGGUCCUCCUUGUGGCUCACGAGUUUUCUUUGGUUGCAGCUCAUGGGCUUAGCUGCCCCACAGUAUGUGGGAAUCUUAGUUUCCUGACUGGAGAUCAAACCUGAAUUGCCUGCAUUGGAAGGCUGAUUGUUAACCACUGGACCACCAGGAAAAUCCCCUUGAGAAAUGUUUUUGAACAAGACUUUCUCUUUUUCUAUCAUGUUUGCUUGCGUUCUCAAUCUUGCUACUUAUCCACUCCCACUGCCAGAUCUUCAAUAGCGUUAUUCAAACCCAAUUCGGAAAUACAUUUCUUAUUUGCAUUGCCUAGAAGUUGAUGUUACAUGGCAUGUGAGAUUAACUUGGAUGCUGGUGACCACUGUCCUGAAAGGCCAGUGUCAUGAAAGUUACCAUUGGUGUGAUUGGCCCCACCAUCAGACAGAGUUACAAAAUUGACUCAUCUAUUGAUUAACUAAGGUGAUCUCAGAAUUUUCUACCUAGAGCACAAGGGAGCUGUAGUAAACUGGUUGCAUGGGUUUUUUCUCAGUGCUUGAGUUGGCAGUAUUUUGGCAGCUGUAGAUUUUCCCCACCCCAUGGACUUGGGACUGAAGGGCAGAAUAGUGAGAAGUCUCACGUCCACAUUCAGGUUUGGUGCUGCUACUGCAAGGUCGAAGGGUGGAUGGUCAUCUAUGAGGGAAGGAGCCAGUUGCACUGUGCCCAAGCCACACUCUACACAUCCUACAGACGCAACGGAAAAGUCACCAGAACCUUGCAGUGGCCUUGCCCCUCUGCAGUGCUCGCCUCGGAUUUUUUAUCAGUGUCUGCUGGAGACCCAGGGUUCAAACUACUGGAGGUCCAGAUGACAUCUGGCUUCCCAGCUCCCCCGGAAUACUGGCUGCAGUGCUUAUCAGUGCAUUAUUCAUCAAAACUGAUGAUGCAAGCCCAUGGUACCACCCUGGAAAGAAAUCAAUCGACGCCUGUAAGUGGAAGCCAUACUGGAACCACUGAGCCAUCAUUCAAGUUAGACCUGCUUCCAGGAGUGUGUGUGGCCAACAGCCUCUAAGUGUAAGUGACCUUGGGCUCUGCCUCAGUUUUUGAGUCAAUGCCAAAUACUUCCCCGGCAGCCCCCAGCAGACCACUGAGCAAAGCAGUGUGAGGGGACUUUCAAACUCUAGACAGUGGCAACUGGUUCUUGGAAGCUUGUCUUGCUGGCCACCAUUGGCUGACCAAGCUUCCUCAUAACUGCCCCACAGGCUGAAGUUCACCCCCUCGCCCCCCCAACCCUGACUCUCCUUUCUUCCCACCUAUUUCUUCAGUCACCACACCUCUACGUCAGAGUCUGAAAGUUUUCUGGAAUUGCUCUUGCUUCUUUCCCCCUUUAUCUGUCACAGCCAUUAUCCCCAAUUAAUAUCUUCCACUGCUAGCUCUGGUCAAGGCAUCUGUUUCUGGGAAGACUCACCUGACUCAUAUCACCAUUUACUUCAUUAUAUCAGGAGCUUUUGGAAAAUACAUGGGAAAACAAUGAAAAAACAAGCCUA